ACAUUGGUAGCACAGCGGCCAGCGCAGUCUGUCGGAAACAGAAAGACGCGAGUUCAAUCCCCGUCCGAUGUC
RNAcentral lists this transfer RNA (72 nucleotides) under Nippostrongylus brasiliensis. It matches the Rfam family "tRNA". Rfam says of the family: Transfer RNA (tRNA) molecules are approximately 80 nucleotides in length. Their secondary structure includes four short double-helical elements and three loops (D, anti-codon, and T loops). Lineage: Eukaryota; Metazoa; Nematoda; Chromadorea; Rhabditida; Heligmosomidae. The record is from Rfam by way of RNAcentral.